GAUGAACGCUAGCGAUAGGCUUAACACAUGCAAGUCGAGGGGCAGCACAAGGUAGCUUGCUCUCUGGGUGGCGACCGGCGCACGGGUGCGUAACGCGUAUGCAACUUGCCCUAUACAGGAGGAUAACCCGUCGAAAGACGGACUAAUACUGCGUAUGCUCACAACUUGGCAUCAAGUGGUGAGGAAAGAAAUUCGGUAUAGGAUAGGCAUGCGUCCCAUUAGCUUGUUGGUGAGGUAACGGCUCACCAAGGCAACGAUGGGUAGGGGAACUGAGAGGUUUAUCCCCCACACUGGUACUGAGACACGGACCAGACUCCUACGGGAGGCAGCAGUGAGGAAUAUUGGUCAAUGGGCGCGAGCCUGAACCAGCCAAGUCGCGUGAAGGAUGACUGUCUUAUGGAUUGUAAACUUCUUUUAUACGGGAAUAACAAGAGUCACGGGUGACUCCCUGCAUGUACCGUAUGAAUAAGCAUCGGCUAACUCCGUG
This 487-nucleotide ribosomal RNA is filed under the name uncultured bacterium. RNAcentral's name for it is "partial 16S ribosomal RNA". It matches the Rfam family "Bacterial small subunit ribosomal RNA", at positions 28 to 507 of the family's 1533-position model. The record is from RNAcentral.